CACGUAGGCGGACUGGAAAGUUGGAGGUGAAAUCCCAGGGCUCAACCUUGGAACUGCCUUCAAAACUAUCAGUCUGGAGUUCGAGAGAGGUGAGUGGAAUUCCGAGUGUAGAGGUGAAAUUCGUAGAUAUUCGGAAGAACACCAGUGGCGAAGGCGACUUACUGGACACAUAUUGACGCUGAGGUGCGAAAGCGUGGGGAGCAAACA
This 207-nucleotide ribosomal RNA is filed under the name uncultured bacterium. RNAcentral's name for it is "partial 16S ribosomal RNA". It matches the Rfam family "Bacterial small subunit ribosomal RNA", at positions 568 to 774 of the family's 1533-position model. The record is from RNAcentral.